GACGUAGGGCGCGAGCGUUGUCCGGAUUUAUUGGGCGUAAAGAGCUCGUAGGCGGUUUGUCGCGUCUGCUGUGAAAACCCGAGGCUCAACCUCGGGCCUGCAGUGGGUACGGGCAGACUAGAGUGCGGUAGGGGAGAUUGGAAUUCCUGGUGUAGCGGUGGAAUGCGCAGAUAUCAGGAGGAACACCAAUGGCGAAGGCAGAUCUCCUGGGCCGUAACUGACGCUGGAGGAGCGAAAGCGUGGGGAGCGAACAGG
RNAcentral lists this ribosomal RNA (255 nucleotides) under uncultured bacterium. RNAcentral's name for it is "partial 16S ribosomal RNA". It matches the Rfam family "Bacterial small subunit ribosomal RNA", at positions 524 to 776 of the family's 1533-position model. The record is from RNAcentral.